RNAcentral lists this ribosomal RNA (495 nucleotides) under uncultured bacterium. RNAcentral describes it as "partial 16S ribosomal RNA". It matches the Rfam family "Bacterial small subunit ribosomal RNA", at positions 29 to 506 of the family's 1533-position model. The record is from RNAcentral.
AUGCACGCUGGCGGCGUGCCUAAUACAUGCAAGUCGAGCGAACGGACGAGAAGCUUGCUUCUCUGAUGUUAGCGGCGGACGGGUGAGUAACACGUGGAUAACCUACCUAUAAGACUGGGAUAACUUCGGGAAACCGGAGCUAAUACCGGAUGAUAUUUUGAACCGCAUGGUUCAAAAGUGAAAGACGGUCUUGCUGUCACUUAUAGAUGGAUCCGCGCUGCAUUAGCUAGUUGGUAAGGUAACGGCUUACCAAGGCAACGAUGCAUAGCCGACCUGAGAGGGUGAUCGGCCACACUGGAACUGAGACACGGUCCAGACUCCUACGGGAGGCAGCAGUAGGGAAUCUUCCGCAAUGGGCGAAAGCCUGACGGAGCAACGCCGCGUGAGUGAUGAAGGUCUUCGGAUCGUAAAACUCUGUUAUUAGGGAAGAACAUAUGUGUAAGUAACUGUGCACAUCUUGACGGUACCUAAUCAGAAAGCCACGGCUAACUACGU